UACGUAGGGUGCAAGCGUUAAUCGGAAUUACUGGGCGUAAAGCGUGCGCAGGCGGUUUUGUAAGUUUGUCGUGAAAGCCCCGGGCUCAACCUGGGAAUUGCGAUGAAGACUGCAAGGCUUGAAUCUGGCAGAGGGGGGUAGAAUUCCACGUGUAGCAGUGAAAUGCGUAGAGAUGUGGAGGAACACCGAUGGCGAAGGCAGCCCCCUGGGUCAAUACUGACGCUCAUGCACGAAAGCGUGGGGAGCAAACAGG
This 253-nucleotide ribosomal RNA is filed under the name uncultured bacterium. RNAcentral describes it as "partial 16S ribosomal RNA". It matches the Rfam family "Bacterial small subunit ribosomal RNA", at positions 524 to 776 of the family's 1533-position model. The record is from RNAcentral.